RNAcentral lists this ribosomal RNA (468 nucleotides) under uncultured bacterium. RNAcentral describes it as "partial 16S ribosomal RNA". It matches the Rfam family "Bacterial small subunit ribosomal RNA", at positions 28 to 507 of the family's 1533-position model. The record is from RNAcentral.
GACGAACGCUGGCGGCGUGCUUAACACAUGCAAGUCGAACGGAAAGGCCCUGCUUGUGUGGGGUGCUCGAGUGGCGAACGGGUGAGUAACACGUGAGUAACCUGCCCUUGACUUUGGGAUAACUUCAGGAAACUGGGGCUAAUACCGGAUAGGAGCUCCUGCUGCAUGGUGGGGGUUGGAAAGUUUAGGCGGUUGGGGAUGUAUUCGCGGCUUAUCAGCUUGUUGGUAGGGUAGUGGCUUACCAAGGCUUUGACGGGUAGCCGGCAUGAGAGGGUGACCGGGGCCAUUGGUACUGCGAGACGGAGCAGACUCGUAUGUGAGGCAGUAGUGGGGAAUCUUGCCCAAUGGGCGGACGCCUGAUGUAGAAACGCUGGGUGCGGGAUGACGGCCUUCGGGUUGUAAACCGCUUUCGCCUGUGACGAAGCGUGAGUGACGGUAACGGGUAAAGAAGCACCGGCUAACUACGUG